GGGGCCGCAAUGGUGGUCGACCGCCGACGAAAACCGCACGCGGUACCGGCGGCACGCGAGUUCGAUUCUCGCCGGCUCCACCA
This 83-nucleotide non-coding RNA is filed under the name Mycobacterium phage DS6A. Lineage: Duplodnaviria; Heunggongvirae; Uroviricota; Caudoviricetes. RNAcentral also lists the same sequence under 1 other name. The record is from RNAcentral.